CACCUCGAUGUCGGCUCAUCACAUCCUGGGGCUGAAGUAGGUCCCAAGGGUAUGGCUGUUCGCCAUUUAAAGUGGUACGCGAGCUGGGUUUAGAACGUCGUGAGACAGUUCGGUCCCUAUCUGCCGUGGGCGCUGGAGAAUUGAGGGGGGCUGCUCCUAGUACGAGAGGACCGGAGUGGACGCAUCACUGGUGUUCGGGUUGUCAUGCCAAUGGCACUGCCCGGUAGCUAAAUGCGGAAGAGAUAAGUGCUGAAAGCAUCUAAGCACGAAACUUGCCCCGAGAUGAGUUCUCCCUGACUCCUUGAGAGUCCUGAAGGAACGUUGAAGACGACGACGUUGAUAGGCCGGGUGUGUAAGCGCAGCGAUGCGUUGAGCUAACCGGUACUAAUGAACCGUGAGGCUUAACCUUACAACGCCGAAG
Molecule: ribosomal RNA, 421 nt
Filed under: Escherichia coli
Lineage: Bacteria; Pseudomonadati; Pseudomonadota; Gammaproteobacteria; Enterobacterales; Enterobacteriaceae
Description: partial 23S ribosomal RNA
Rfam family: Bacterial large subunit ribosomal RNA
Source: RNAcentral